GAUGAACGCUGGCGGCGUGCCUAAUACAUGCGAGUCGAGCGAACGGACGAGAAGCUUGCUUCUCUGAUGUUAGCGGCGGACGGGUGAGUAACACGUGGAUAACCUACCUAUAAGACUGGGAUAACUUCGGGAAACCGGAGCUAAUACCGGAUGAUAUUUUGAACCGCAUGGUUCAAAAGUGAAAGACGGUCUUGCUGUCACUUAUAGAUGGAUCCGCGCUGCAUUAGCUAGUUGGUAAGGUAACGGCUUACCAAGGCAACGAUGCAUAGCCGACCUGAGAGGGUGAUCGGCCACACUGGAUCUGGGACACGGUCCAGACUCCUACGGGAGGCAGCAGUAGGGAAUCUUCCGCAAUAGGCGAAAGCCUGACGGAGCAACGCCGCGUGAGUGAUGAAGGUCUUCGGAUCGUAAAACUCUGUUAUUAGGGAAGAACAUAUGUGUAAGUAACUGUACACAUCUUGACGGUACCUAAUCAGAAAGCCACGGCUAACUACGUG
Molecule: ribosomal RNA, 497 nt
Filed under: uncultured bacterium
Lineage: Bacteria
Description: partial 16S ribosomal RNA
Rfam family: Bacterial small subunit ribosomal RNA
Source: RNAcentral